UCCCAGGGCGGCCACAGCCAGCACACCGCCGUUGAAGAUCGCCGGUUCGACGAGCGCCUUCUGCUCGACCACGAGCCGAGAUAGCGGUGCCAGCACGAGUACCGUCUCGAUGACGGCCGCCGCCGCGAAGGCAUAGGUCGCGAAGGGCCGCACCGCUAGGCCUGACUGCCAUCGGGCACCGAGGACUUGAAGGAUCAGGCCGAGCGCGAGCCAGGCGACCACGCUCCAGCCCGCCGUCAGCUCGAACGGCAUCAGGUAGGCAAGCGCCACCGCGGCCGCGACGCAGCCCACCCAGCGGUAGACGCGGUCGCCGCUGCCGAACCCGAUCACGAGGGCGGUCGCUGCCACGAUCGCCGUUACCGCGGUCUGCUCGUCCCAGAACGGCUGCGUUCUUCAUCGA
This 400-nucleotide unclassified non-coding RNA is filed under the name uncultured Ascomycota. Its description in RNAcentral is "sequence contains ITS1". Lineage: Eukaryota; Fungi; Ascomycota. The record is from RNAcentral.